Molecule: ribosomal RNA, 507 nt
Filed under: uncultured bacterium
Lineage: Bacteria
Description: bacterial SSU rRNA
Rfam family: Bacterial small subunit ribosomal RNA
Source: RNAcentral
CCUGGCUCAGGAUGAACGCUAGCGGCAGGCUUAACACAUGCAAGUCGAGGGGCAUCGGGAGUAGCAAUACUGCCGGCGACCGGCGCAAGGGUGCGUAACGCGUGAGCAACAUGCCCGUAUCAGGGGGAUAAUCCAUGGAAACGUGGUCUAAUACCCCAUAGUAAUUAUGUAAGGCAUCUUAUAUAAUUUAAAGCUUUGGUGGAUACGGAUUGGCUCGCGUGACAUUAGGCUGGAUGGUAAGGUAACGGCUUACCAUGGCUACGAGUGUCUAGGGGUUCUGAGAGGAAGGUCCCCCACACUGGAACUGAGACACGGUCCAGACUCCUACGGGAGGCAGCAGUGAGGAAUAUUGGACAAUGGAUGGAAAUCUGAUCCAGCCAUGCCGCGUGCAAGGAAGACGGCCCUAUGGGUUGUAAACUGCUUUUGUAUGGGAGCAAUAAGGGCUACGUGUAGUCCGAUGAGAGUACCAUACGAAUAAGCACCGGCUAACUCCGUGCCAGCCGCGGC